UACGGAGGGUGCAAGCGUUAUCCGGAUUUACUGGGUUUAAAGGGUGCGUAGGCGGUUAUAUAAGUCAGCGGUGAAAUCAGUGGGCUCAACCUACUAAUUGCCGUUGAAACUGUGUAGCUUGAAUUUGAUGGAGGUAGGCGGAAUGUUGCAUGUAGCGGUGAAAUGCUUAGAUAUGCUACGGAACACCGAUUGCGAAGGCAGCUUACUACGUCAAUAUUGACGCUGAUGCACGAAAGCGUGGGUAGCGAACAGG
RNAcentral lists this ribosomal RNA (253 nucleotides) under uncultured bacterium. Its description in RNAcentral is "partial 16S ribosomal RNA". It matches the Rfam family "Bacterial small subunit ribosomal RNA", at positions 524 to 776 of the family's 1533-position model. The record is from RNAcentral.